GCAUGCGGCGUAAUUCGACGCAAACGCGAAGAACCUGACCAAGGCUUGACAUAUAGGGUAAAGUGUCAGAGAUGUCAUGUCCGCAAGGGCUCUAUACAGCUGGUGCAUGGUUGUCGUCAGCUCGUGUCGUGAGAUGUUGGGUUAAGUCCCGCAACGAGCGCAACCCUCGUUCUGUGUUGCCAGCAUUUAGUUGGGGACUCACAGGAGACUGCCGGGGUUAACUCGGAGGAAGGUGGGGAUGACGUCAAAUCAUCAUGCCCCUUAUGUCUUGGGCUGCACGCAUGCUACAAUGGCCGGUACAGAGGGCUGCAAUACCGUAAGGUGGAGCGAAUCCCAAAAAGCCGGUCUCAGUUCGGAUUGAGGUCUGCAACUCGACCUCAUGAAGUUGGAGUUGCUAGUAAUCGUAGAUCAGCAACGCUACGGUGAAUACGUUCCCGGGGCUUGUACACACCGCCCGUCACGUCACGAAAUCGUAACACCCAAAGUCAGUGGCCCAAC
RNAcentral lists this ribosomal RNA (498 nucleotides) under uncultured Actinomycetes bacterium. Its description in RNAcentral is "bacterial SSU rRNA". It matches the Rfam family "Bacterial small subunit ribosomal RNA", at positions 937 to 1439 of the family's 1533-position model. Lineage: Bacteria; Bacillati; Actinomycetota; Actinomycetes. The record is from RNAcentral.